This 253-nucleotide ribosomal RNA is filed under the name uncultured bacterium. RNAcentral's name for it is "partial 16S ribosomal RNA". It matches the Rfam family "Bacterial small subunit ribosomal RNA", at positions 524 to 776 of the family's 1533-position model. The record is from RNAcentral.
UACAGAGGUCCCGAGCGUUGUUCGGAUUCAUUGGGCGUAAAGGGUGCGUAGGCGGCGGGGAAAGUCUGAUGUGAAAUCCUGGGGCUCAACCCUGGAACUGCAUUGGAUACUUCCUUGCUAGAGUACUGGAGAGGAAACUGGAAUUUACGGUGUAGCAGUGAAAUGCGUAGAGAUCGUAAGGAAGACCAGUGGCGAAGGCGAGUUUCUGGACAAUUACUGACGCUGAGGCACGAAGGCCAGGGGAGCAAACGGG